GAGAGCUCUCAUUUUCCCCCCUUGCUCGGGAUGGUGCCACAGGAGGCUGUGCGGGCCCCGCUCCGCUUCGAAUGGUGGAUGCUGUGGGGCACCACCUCCUUGAGGACCAAGGCACUCCAGCUGCCAGGAAUUUGGCUGCUAACCUCACACAGCUGAGCCUUCCAUGAAAAUUGCUCUCUGCCAAAGAGAACUUCCUAGUCCAAGGUCAUGUCUACUCUCCAGAGAAAUGCACUGACCCUGCACUCUACAGGACACUAUGCUCAUUCCGAAUGCUAAGAUGUGACUGGAGUGAUUUGCACCCGGAUGCCUAGACUCGCCAUCUGCUCAAAGACUGCUCAGAAAGCCCUCCCAUGCAUUCCCCUGCUGCAUACCAGCCCACUCUGCCUGCAGCUGCUGUCUGCAGGACUUCAUAUCUAUGCCACACUGUGUAAAAGCUGUGCUUCAAGAAAUCACAAAAACAUUUUCCUGCACCUACUACACAGCCUGAGUGCGGCAUAAGUUGACCUUGCUUGCUAAGAAAUGGGGCAAGAAAUGCUUUUUUGUGUGUGUCAUGUCUGUUUGUUUUUCAAUUAAGAGAGGAAAGCAUUAGGCAGAUGGAAUGUACAUGUGAGGAUGAGGAGACAGAAAACAAGUAGCCCUUUCCAUCAAGAUAGAGGGUUUUCUGGGGUUGCUGGCUAUUGAAUGUCACUCCUGAUUUCUCUUUCCAAGGCACUGUACCACCAGCCUACUGAGAUUGUGUGGGAGCUUUCAUGGGGGUUGUAUUUCACUGAUGAAAAUAAAUUUUUUGCAUAAUGUGAA
Molecule: long non-coding RNA, 798 nt
Organism: Homo sapiens (human)
Lineage: Eukaryota; Metazoa; Chordata; Mammalia; Primates; Hominidae
Gene: MIR100HG
Product: mir-100-let-7a-2-mir-125b-1 cluster host gene
Source: Ensembl